CAGUCGCCACGGGAACACGAAGGGGGCUAGCGUUGCUCGGAAUGACUGGGCGUAAAGGGCGCGUAGGCGGAUCACGCAGUCAGAUGUGAAGUUCCUGGGCUUAACCUGGGGGCUGCAUUUGAGACGCGUGGUCUAGAGUGUGAAAGAGGGUCGUGGAAUUCCCAGUGUAGAGGUGAAAUUCGUAGAUAUUGGGAAGAACACCGGUGGCGAAGGCGGCGACCUGGUUCAUAACUGACGCUGAGGCGCGAAAGCGUGGGGAGCAAACAGGAUUAGAUACCCCAGUAGUCCCGUCUCUUAUACA
This 301-nucleotide ribosomal RNA is filed under the name uncultured bacterium. Its description in RNAcentral is "partial 16S ribosomal RNA". It matches the Rfam family "Bacterial small subunit ribosomal RNA", at positions 509 to 808 of the family's 1533-position model. The record is from RNAcentral.